Cydia splendana is the source of this 254-nucleotide long non-coding RNA. RefSeq lists it as uncharacterized. The record is from RefSeq and is a predicted model, not a curated record. The transcript is spliced from 2 exons. Lineage: Eukaryota; Metazoa; Arthropoda; Insecta; Lepidoptera; Tortricidae.
UAAAUAUAUAUUAUAAAUAAAUAUUAUAGGACAUUCUUACACAGAUUGACUAAGUCCCACAGUAAGCUCAAGAAGGCUUGUGUUGUGGGUACUCAGACAACGAUAUAUAUAAUAUAUAAUUAAAUAUAAAACACUCAUGGCUCAGGAACAAAUAUUUGUGUUCAUCACACAAAUAAAUGCCCUUACCGGGAUUCGAACCCAGGACUAUCGGCUUCACAGGCAGGGUCACUACCCACUAGGCCAAACAGGUCGUC